This is a long non-coding RNA of Oreochromis aureus, 971 nucleotides long. RefSeq lists it as uncharacterized. NCBI's taxonomy places the organism in Eukaryota, Metazoa, Chordata, Actinopteri, Cichliformes, Cichlidae. The transcript has 3 exons. The record is from RefSeq and is a predicted model, not a curated record.
AGCGAGAACGCUAAGUUUUUGUUACCUUUGAAAAGAAAAAUGUGAAGACGUAAUAUUAGCAUAUGCUAAUGUUAUUCACUCAAGCAAACAUCUCAGGUACUGACUUGCUGCUUUCUAAUAUCUGUGUUUAUUUCUGGAUAUACCUACAUGGUUAUUAGACAUCCCACAUAAAGGGUAACAAAGGCAGUAACUAUAAAUGACCAUAACUUUACUGUAAAUUACAUUGCGAUGGGCUCAAUUCAUAUAGUUCUAUCACGUGCACACGCAUGUUAGCAACCGUAACCACGGGCCGCUGUAGGUAUAUGAAUGCUGCACAAGGUUCCAGUCGUCCCUUUACACUUGCUCUUGGACUUGUCUUGACCUGCUCCAAGCUCAGCUUGUGGAUAGAUAACGUUUGGAGAAUAUUUCUACAGAAAGCGGAUUUUACUAGAAAGCGACAACAACUACUGCAUCUUUGGAUCUUUUGUACUCAUGUUUCAUCAUCACAGCAAAGCUUGAAGAUGGCUCGUCGUGGACCCCGACUCGUCGACAGUCACCUGGCUGUCUUGACUACAUUGUUGAACGUCCCGAGAACGAGGCCUUUCUGAAGUCAUGAGGAUCCUUGAUGACACUCUCCUGAGCGCCAUCUCUUCUGAUGAAGCAUGGGACACUGAAACCGAGCGUGUCAGUAAAGGCUGUCUUGACUACAUUGUUGAACGUCCCGAGAACGAGGCCUUUCUGAAGUCAUGAGGAUCCUUGAUGACACUCUCCUGAGCGCCAUCUCUUCUGAUGAAGCAUGGGACACUGAAACCGAGCGUGUCAAUAAAGGUGAGUACAUCGCCCUCUCCCCCUCCCCCUCUUCUCAUGAAGAACUGGAUGCUGAUGUGUGUCAGUGAAGUGGAAGGUGAGUACCCCCCCACCUCCCUUUCUUGCACUGAGGUCUGCUUAUUGUAAAUAUCUUGUACUUGUUUUUACACCUUUAAAGUUGACCU